This 697-nucleotide ribosomal RNA is filed under the name uncultured dinoflagellate. RNAcentral describes it as "SSU rRNA". It matches the Rfam family "Eukaryotic small subunit ribosomal RNA", at positions 592 to 1293 of the family's 1831-position model. The record is from RNAcentral. Lineage: Eukaryota; Dinophyceae.
UCAAUGCGUAUAUUGAGUUGUUGCGGUUAUAAGCUCGUCGUUGGAUUUCUGUUGAGGUCGAACAGUGCCGCCCUAUGGGUGCGCAACUGGCUCGGCUUCGGCAUCUUCUUGGAGAGCGUAUCUGCACUUAACUGUGUGGAUCGUACUUCAAGUCAGUUACUCUGAGGAAUUGUGAGUGUUUCAAGCAGGCUUACGCCGUUGAAUCCGUUAGCAUGGAAUAAUAGAAUAGGACCUCGGUUCUAUUUUGUUGGUUUUGAGAGCUGGGGCAGCGAUUGAUAGGGACGGAUGGGGGCGUCCGAACUUUACUGACAGAGGUGAAAUUCUUAGAUCGGUCAAAGGCGAACUACUGCGAACGCAUUCGCCAAGAAUGUUUUCUUUAAUCAAGAACGAAAGUUAGGGGAUCGAAGACGAUCAGAUACCGUCCUAGUCUUAACCAUAAACGUUACUGACUAGAGAUUGGAGGUUGUGAUUCACAAACUCCAUCAGCACCUCUAUGUGUAAACAAAGUCUUUGAGUUCUGGGGGGAGUAUGGUCGCAAGACUGAAACUUAAAGGAAUUGACGGAAGGGCACCACCAGGAGUGGAACCUGCGGCUUAAUUUGACUCAACACGGGGAAACUUACCAGAUCAAGACAUAGUAAGGAUUGACAGAUUGAGAGUUCUCUCUCGAUUCUAUGGGUGGUGGUGCAUGGCCGUUC